RNAcentral lists this ribosomal RNA (253 nucleotides) under uncultured bacterium. Its description in RNAcentral is "partial 16S ribosomal RNA". It matches the Rfam family "Bacterial small subunit ribosomal RNA", at positions 524 to 776 of the family's 1533-position model. The record is from RNAcentral.
UACAGAGGUCUCAACCGUUGUUCGGAUUCAUUGGGCGUAAAGGGUGCGUAGGCGGCGGGGCAGGUCAGGUGUGAAAUCUCGGGGCUCAACCCCGAAACUGCACCUGAUACUGCCUUGCUCGAGUACUGGAGAGGAGACUGGAAUUUACGGUGUAGCAGUGAAAUGCGUAGAUAUCGUAAGGAAGACCAGUGGCGAAGGCGAGUCUCUGGACAGUUACUGACGCUGAGGCACGAAGGCCAGGGGAGCAAACGGG